UAGUCUUGAUAGGUUCGCUUUGCUCAUUUACAAAUGUCACCAAGCCUGUUCUUUCUUUGUGCAGACUUUCCUAAGAGGAAGAGAACAUGAUUCACUUUAAAUGUGAUCGCAGUCUGGUGCAGCAGAAGCUCAGAACCUGAGGUGACCAAAGCUGAACCUCGGAAGAAAAGGACAUGUCUGUCCAGGGUUAGCGCCUCAAUCUAAACGUAAGGAGUCUUCAACUGAUACUGGUGCUAAAAUGCCAAUCAGUGACGUGCAAACAUGUCAGAUGACCAGAUGUGGACUCGUACGCGCAGUACCGACAAGUACCAGCAGAGGGCGCUGAAAGACCACGAAGAUUUAUCAACACAACAUUUAUGAAAUGCGCGUGUUGCUGCUCCUGCGUGGCUGACGCUGAUUUAACGCUUUAUGGUAUUAUUGACCUUUAGUUUUAAUAGUAAAUUACAAACACGAAAGUUGAGGUUGAUGAAUGUUAUAUUAUUUUGCUUGAGGACUUUUACGACAGUGUCGGUGGUCACUUUGUGUCCAGACGUGGUACAAAUAAGCAGAUGGAGUUUUGUGUCUGGCGGCAGACAUCUGCUUGAGAAAAGAAAACGAGGAAGCAAAAUGGGAGGAUAACGUGACUGCGCUGUGCUGGAGACAUCAGAAAAGACAGACACACACACAAAAAGAAAAAAGACAGAUGGCCUCAAUGUUACUUAGGUACUUAAAUUACUUAGUUACUUACUAACUACUAAGUACUACUUAGUUAGCUAUUAAAUCUACUAUGGUUUCAAAUAAGGAUUAGGAUUUCAAAUUAGGGUUUCAAGACAGGAUUAUGGUUUCAAGUUAAAGUUUCAAACGAGGGUUAGGGUUUUAAAUGUGUUUAUGAUGAGUAUGAGUAAUGAUGAUGAUUGACUUGAAAAGUGCUGGCUUGGCAGCGGAGGAACGUUUUUGAAUUCAACAUUAAAUGCACACAAUUGUGGAGUAUAAAAUCACAGCGUUGCCUCAUCUCAACAUUCGGGCCCCUCACGAUUCUCUGCACGGCAACUCAAUUAGAUUGGCUGUGGAUCACGUGACCUUGGAUGUUGCUAACCGUACUGAAUGAAGUACUCUACUAUCACAGAAAAGUUGUAUGUAUAAAAAAAUGUACUAACAAUCGUUAACGCUCCAGAUGCUCUGGACUGGAUCAUUGCAAAUUUAUAAUAUUGUACUUUUAUUAAAAGAUAACAGAUUAAUAGUUGAGGAAGAAGCAAUUUGCCAAAGAGAGUGGGCGAGGGCGAGAAUAAAAGCGAGACAGUGGAUAUUUUGGAGUCUCCCUUCAUUUGAAUGCUGGUUUUUGGGUGGCUCAUCACGACGGAAACACUUUUUUUUUUGAUCGGCCUGAGCGGCCAUCUUAAUCCAUCCGACACAGCUGCCCGGAUUACCGGCGCACCUUGACCUCCGGCGUUUUGUAUCCCAGCUCUUUCCUGGACAAAAGCCGCCGCCCGCCUCACCUGCCGCUGCGAUGUGCAGAUAAAUGACAAAAUAGGAUAAAACAACAACAAGGGCCAAACGAGCUCUGAUCGCAAUCUGAGAGCGCUUUCAUUACACUAAAACGGUUUCUCAAUGGGACUGUCCACACAAAAUCGUAAAUUAGCGUUUGAAGCCAAGGCUAGGGGGUUUUCAUUUGGACAAAAGGGUUUUGCCGCCAUCUUGUGACAUCUUGGUGUCGAGGAACUAUGUUGAAGUGAGUUCAGGGGUUUCGUUUAGACAAAAAUAGUGCUUUGGCACCAACUUCUGGUAUUUUGGAGUCAAGGAACUUUGUUGAAGUAGUUUUUUUGCCGCCACUCUGUGGGAUCUUGAUGUUAAGGAACUAUGCUGAGGUGAGGAGUUUCAAGGAGUUUAAACACAGAUUAGGGUUUGAAGCCAAGGUUAGGUUAUAAACACUGGUUAUGAGUUCAAACUAUAUUUUCAAGCAUUUCUUCUGCUUCUGCUUUCUGCAGUUUUUUAAAUCUUAUGCUUUCAAAUCAAGGUUUGAAGAUAUGGUAAGCGUGUUGCACACAGGCCAGGGUUUCAAAUUAGGGUUUGAAGCCAAGGUUAGGGUUUUAAACAAAGGUUAGGCUUGGAAAUGAGGGUUUCAAGUCUGGGCUAGGGUUUCAAUGAUGGGUUGUGCUUGAAAUUGAGGAUUGAAUUCAAGGUUAGGGUUCCAAACAGGGAUAAGGGUUUCAAGCCUUUCUUAUGGUUUCAAAUUGGGGUCUGAAGCCACAGUUAAUGUUUACAAUUGGGGUUUCAAGUCUACGUUAUGGUUUUGAACAAAGAUUAGGCUUUCAAAUUUGGUUUAGAAAACGGUUUUAAAGUAUCAAAUUAGGGUUUUUAGUGUGAUAGGGUUUUGAAACUUGAA
Molecule: long non-coding RNA, 2362 nt
Organism: Phyllopteryx taeniolatus (common seadragon)
Lineage: Eukaryota; Metazoa; Chordata; Actinopteri; Syngnathiformes; Syngnathidae
Exons: 3
Source: RefSeq, a predicted model, not a curated record